AGCGGGAAAGUAGCUUGCUACUUUUGCCGGCGAGUGGCGAACGGGUGAGUAAUGUAUCGGAACGUGCCCAGUAGCGGGGGAUAACUACGCGAAAGCGUGGCUAAUACCGCAUACGCCCUACGGGGGAAAGGGGGGGAUCUUAGGACCUCUCACUAUUGGAGCGGCCGAUAUCGGAUUAGCUAGUUGGUGGGGUAAAGGCCUACCAAGGCGACGAUCCGUAGCUGGUUUGAGAGGACGACCAGCCACACUGGGACUGAGACACGGCCCAGACUCCUACGGGAGGCAGCAGUGGGGAAUUUUGGACAAUGGGGGAAACCCUGAUCCAGCCAUCCCGCGUGUGCGAUGAAGGCCUUCGGGUUGUAAAGCACUUUUGUCAGGGAAGAAAAGGUUUCGGAUAAUACCCGGAACUGAUGACGGUACCUGAAGAAUACGCACCGGACUAACUACCUGCCUGCAGCCCGGAGGUACGGGCGGGCGGGUUUCGGAAUUACUGGGCGUAAAGCGUGCGCAGGCGGUUCGGAAAGAAAGAUGUGAAAUCCCAGGGCUCAACCUUGGAACUGCAUUUUUAACUCCCGAAACUAGAGUAUGUCAGAGGGGGGUGGAAUUCCACGUGUAGCAGUGAAAUGCGUAGAUAUGUGGAGGAACACCGAUGGCGAAGGCAGCCCCGAGCGAUAAUACUGACCGCUCAUGGACGAAAGCGUGGGGAGCAAAACACGAUUAGAUACCCUGGUAGUCCACGCCCUAAACGAUGUCAACUAGCUGUUGGGCCCUUCGGGGCUUAGUAGCGCAGCUAACGCGUGAAGUUGACCGCCUGGGGAGUACGGUCGCAAGAUUAAAACUCAAAGGAAUUGACGGGGACCCGCACAAGCGGUGGAUGAUGUGGAUUAAUUCGAUGCAACGCGAAAAACCUUACCUACCCUUGACAUGUCUGGAAUCCUGAAGAGAUUUAGGAGUGCUCGCAAGAGAACCGGAACACAGGUGCUGCAUGGCUGUCGUCAGCUCGUGUCGUGAGAUGUUGGGUUAAGUCCCGCAACGAGCGCAACCCUUGUCAUUAGUUGCUACAUUUAGUUGAGCACUCUAAUGAGACUGCCGGUGACAAACCGGAGGAAGGUGGGGAUGACGUCAAGUCCUCAUGGCCCUUAUGGGUAGGGCUUCACACGUCAUACAAUGGUCGGGACAGAGGGUUGCCAAACCGCAAGGUGGAGCUAAUCUCAUAAACCCGAUCGUAGUCCGGAUUGCAGGCUGCAACUCGCCUGCAUGAAGUCGGAAUCGCUAGUAAUCGCGGAUCAGCAUGUCGCGGUGAAUACGUUCCCGGGUCUUGUACACACCGCCCGUCACACCAUGGGAGUGGGUUUUACCAGAAGUAGUUAGCCUAACCGCAAGGGGGG
Molecule: ribosomal RNA, 1388 nt
Filed under: Advenella incenata
Lineage: Bacteria; Pseudomonadati; Pseudomonadota; Betaproteobacteria; Burkholderiales; Alcaligenaceae
Description: 16S ribosomal RNA
Rfam family: Bacterial small subunit ribosomal RNA
Source: RNAcentral